ACAAAAAGGGAAAAUGUUAGUUUUGAGUAUUUGAUCAAAAUUCUUUUUUUCCUGCUCUUUAGACUUUGAGGUUAAACCUGUGAGAGUGCAAUCUGUUGCAGAACACAGAAGCAGGAAUUCAGCACCUGUAGGGAGGGGGUGGAAAUUACUUCUACUUUCAAAUCUACUUUAAAUAGGACUUUCAUGGUUUUAAUAUUGUUUAUUGUUUAAUAUUGUUUUUGCCAGUGUUUCUUACAUUUCAUUCAACCUUACAAAGUUCUGUCAGAGUUGUAAAGGCUUUCUGUUUUAUUACUGUAGAGCUCACAUUUGCCACUUCAUCAUCCUUACUUACAGAAAGAGCUUGAGUCACCUGUCAUGAGAUUAGAAAUGUUCAAUUAUUGACAAGCAACAUAUUCCUAGUCCUAAUCUAUCCAUCUUUCUAAUAGACCUGGCAUUGCACACAAUUAAUAUUGGUGGCUCUGUGACAAACUACUUAUGUUCCUCUAUUGUAAGUUGCUUAGGAUAAGUGUCACGGUUCCAGUCAUUCCCGGACUCCAUUUCCCAUAAUCCUCCCUGGUUAUCACCUGCACUCACUCUACCAGUCAGUAAGCACCACACCCAGCUGCAGCACAUUACCUGGACUAUUUAAGCCACUCACAUCCACAUACACUUUGUGAGGUCUUGAUUAGCCAUGGUUAUCAAUUCUGAGCGUUAUUUAUCUUGUUUGUCUGCCUGUUGUUGACCCUGUUUGUUCCCGUGUACGAUUCUCUGAGCCUGCCCUUUGGAUUAUUUGCUCUGUCUUGGAUUUAUGAUUGUUAUCUGCCUGCCCUGACCUACUGCCUGUACUCCGACUACGAUUCUGCCUGCUCUCUGCCAUACCUGUCUGCUGUUGCUUUACCAUUGCCUGUUUACUACGAACACUGUUAAAUAAAGCUUGCAAAUGGAUCUUACCGAGUCCCGCUUCGUUACAAUAAGAGUGUCUGAUAAAUGCAUAAAUGUAAAUGUAAAUAAAAAUCUAAAAUUUAAUCAUAAUGGAGGACUGCAGUUACAAUACCAGUUUACAUUGUGAUCAAGUCAGUGGCUUUAGUAGGUUUUAUCAUGUAUAGUCUGGUCAUGUCAGGACCCCUGUUCUCUUUAUCUAAAGACACAACAACGACAAAUAGACAUAUAUUGUAAAUGAGCAUAGUCAUUUAAAAAUUAAGAUUCAAUGUAUCAGUGGCAUGCAGCGGGGGGCGGGGGGCGGGGGGCGGUGGGCGGAUGGGCUUAUGCCCCUGCCCCUUUGAUCGCGAAAGUGAAAGUGCCUUUGGCAGUCGCAUCGCGGGUUCCCAUUUCUCCCCCCGGAACGCAAUUUCUACCGAGGGAGAACAACCACACAGACACACACACACAACACCGCCCCUGCCCUCGCGGAGCUCUGUGCACGCCACUGCAAGAUGCAGUUGUCCUCUGACUGUGUCGUGAGGUGGGGUGCCAGACAGAAGUAUUCACAAAAGAUGCGACGUGCCAAACAGAUGUUGAUUCGCCGAUCAAGCAUGUAUCCACACAAUAUACAUGGAAACCAGAGCGAAGAAGCAAGAGAACGACUCACACAAGUUUUUUAAUGCAAGACUAACUGGAGGAUCAUCUCUUGAGGAUCUUCUCCUACAGACAGGACACUCCUGAGUUUCCUUGGUUCUCCAGAACUGCUGAAGACACUCUUUACAGAAACUGUGACUACAUGA
This is a long non-coding RNA of Ctenopharyngodon idella (grass carp), 1700 nucleotides long. RefSeq lists it as uncharacterized. NCBI's taxonomy places the organism in Eukaryota, Metazoa, Chordata, Actinopteri, Cypriniformes, Xenocyprididae. The record is from RefSeq and is a predicted model, not a curated record. The transcript is spliced from 3 exons.